UACGGAGGAUGCGAGCGUUAUCCGGAUUUAUUGGGUUUAAAGGGUGCGUAGGCGGCCUGCCAAGUCAGCGGUAAAAUUGCGGGGCUCAACCCCGUACAGCCGUUGAAACUGCCGGGCUCGAGUGGGCGAGAAGUAUGCGGAAUGCGUGGUGUAGCGGCGAAAUGCAUAGAUAUCACGCAGAACCCCGAUUGCGAAGGCAGCAUACCGGCGCCCUACUGACGCUGAGGCACGAAAGUGCGGGGAUCAAACAGG
Molecule: ribosomal RNA, 252 nt
Filed under: uncultured bacterium
Lineage: Bacteria
Description: partial 16S ribosomal RNA
Rfam family: Bacterial small subunit ribosomal RNA
Source: RNAcentral